Small nuclear RNA from Vicugna pacos (alpaca), 164 nucleotides. RefSeq annotates it as U1 spliceosomal RNA. NCBI's taxonomy places the organism in Eukaryota, Metazoa, Chordata, Mammalia, Artiodactyla, Camelidae. The record is from RefSeq and is a predicted model, not a curated record.
AUACUUAUCUGGCAGGGGAGAUACCAUGAUGACGAAGGUGGUUUUCCCAGGGCCAGGCUUAUCGGUUGCAACCUGGAUGUGCUGACCCCUGUGAUUUCCCCAAAUGUGGGAAACUUGACUGCAUAAUUUGUGGUAGUGGGGGACUGUGUUCACGCUCUCCCCUA